GCUGGGCAUGGUGGUGCAUGCCUGUAUUCCCAGCUACUCAGGAGGUUGAGGUGCAAGGAUCACUUGAGCCCAGGAGUUCAAGGCUGCAGUGAGCCGAGAUCACACCACCACUGCGUUCCAGCCUGGGCAACAGAGUAAGAUCCCAUCUCUA
Molecule: non-coding RNA, 151 nt
Filed under: Nomascus leucogenys (northern white-cheeked gibbon)
Lineage: Eukaryota; Metazoa; Chordata; Mammalia; Primates; Hylobatidae
Source: Rfam by way of RNAcentral